Molecule: RNA transcript, 944 nt
Organism: Amyelois transitella
Lineage: Eukaryota; Metazoa; Arthropoda; Insecta; Lepidoptera; Pyralidae
Exons: 3
Source: RefSeq, a predicted model, not a curated record
AUGCAUUUACCAAUUAGGUAAAUUUCAAUUCCAUUAUGACUCUCCCGAGGUUUGUACCUGAGACCUUGUGUCAGGUGCAGCGAUACAAUCGCCAACCCAAAUAAAUCCAUUUAUCUCUUUUUAGGUUCUAAUAUCGUAUGUCUACGCUUAUCCAAGAGAUUUUGGAGAUAAACAAGGUAUUACUACAUGUCUUGAACAAUCAGCAACAUUUAUUAUCUUUUUUCUAUAUCCAUGUUUGUAAAUUUUCUUAGGUAUAUCUUUUAACUAUUAGUGAUAAACUUUGUUCACAUCGGCGAAUCAUUGUUUUCAGUUAAUCUUAAAAUAGGGUUUGAUUUAACACAAGAAGUAAAUGGGGAACCAGCUUUAAGAAUACGUGAUUUCGAAGGUAUUAAAAUUAUUUUGUGAGAGAUAAGCUUCUGAAUAGAAACAUAAACUUUUACAUUAGAUAUAAAAUGUAAUUAUAAAACUGAACAAAUACAUGUUGAUACUGAUUAUAAAUUAUCAAUAAUGGGUUAGGAUAACUUAUUUACCUUAUUUUUAGAUCCCGAUACUUAUGCAAGAGCAAUUUCAAGUUCAGAGAAACGCAAACCGGGUCCUGCUAUAAGAGCAGAUUCUUUUAGCGCCAGUGACGAGGACGUAAAGGAAGUUGAAGUGAAAGAAGAGAAAAAAGAAAAGAAAGAAAAAAAAUCCAAGCGAGAACGUGAACAUGUUAAAACUAGUAAGGAAGGAUCGAAAUCGAAUGGCUCGGAUUCUGAUGAUUCAGAUGAAAGGAAAAUUAGAAGCACCCUAGGAAUGAGGGGUGAAGAAUUCGAUGCAGAAGGCAGAUAAAUUGGCGUUACCUGCCAGAAGUAUGGAGCCAGGCCGAUACAAAGAAUGUUGUAGUCGGUCGUUUUACUUAUUGGAAUAAAAAAUAGAAAUAUAUCGUGUUUUUUUUCAUGUUUAUG